RNAcentral lists this ribosomal RNA (349 nucleotides) under uncultured bacterium. Its description in RNAcentral is "bacterial SSU rRNA". It matches the Rfam family "Bacterial small subunit ribosomal RNA", at positions 8 to 349 of the family's 1533-position model. The record is from RNAcentral.
AGAGUUUGAUCCUGGCUCAGGAUGAACGCUAGCUACAGGCUUAACACAUGCAAGUCGAGGGGAAACGACAUCGAAAGCUUGCUUUUGAUGGGCGUCGACCGGCGCACGGGUGAGUAACGCGUAUCCAACCUGCCCAUCACUUGGGGAUAACCUUGCGAAAGUAAGACUAAUACCCAAUGAUAUCUCUAGAAGGCAUCUGAAAGAGAUUAAAGAUUUAUCGGUGAUGGAUGGGGAUGCGUCUGAUUAGCUUGUUGGCGGGGUAACGGCCACCAAAGCAACGAUCAGUAGGGGUUCUGAGAGGAGGUCCCCCANAUUGGAACUGAGACACGGUCAAACUCCUACGGGAGCA